RNAcentral lists this unclassified non-coding RNA (262 nucleotides) under Hevea brasiliensis (rubber tree). The record is from RNAcentral. Lineage: Eukaryota; Viridiplantae; Streptophyta; Magnoliopsida; Malpighiales; Euphorbiaceae.
GCUUCCAAGUAUGAAUAAAGAAGGAAAUAGUAUUAUGCAAACUCUCAUAUUGAGUUAUAAUCAUUUACCUUCUCAUUUGAAGUGUUGCUUUGCUUAUUGUAGAUUAUUUCCAAAAGAUUAUAAAAUUAAAAUCCCAUAUUUGGUGAGACUUUGGAUAGCACAAGGAUUUAUUAAAUCGUCAAAUUCAGAACAAAGUCUUCAAGAUAUAGGUUUAGAAUAUUUCAAGGAUCUUUUAUGGAGGUCCUUCUUUCAAGAAGUAGAA